RNAcentral lists this ribosomal RNA (253 nucleotides) under uncultured bacterium. RNAcentral describes it as "partial 16S ribosomal RNA". It matches the Rfam family "Bacterial small subunit ribosomal RNA", at positions 524 to 776 of the family's 1533-position model. The record is from RNAcentral.
UACGAAGGGGGCUAGCGUUGCUCGGAAUUACUGGGCGUAAAGGGCGCGUAGGCGGCACUGUUAGUCAGGCGUGAAAGUCCUGGGCUCAACCUGGGAACUGCGCUUGAUACGGCAGAGCUAGAGGAUGGAAGAGGGUCGCGGAAUUCCCAGUGUAGAGGUGAAAUUCGUAGAUAUUGGGAAGAACACCGGUGGCGAAGGCGGCGACCUGGUCCAUUACUGACGCUGAGACGCGAAAGCCAGGGGAGCGAACGGG